Molecule: ribosomal RNA, 495 nt
Filed under: uncultured bacterium
Lineage: Bacteria
Description: partial 16S ribosomal RNA
Rfam family: Bacterial small subunit ribosomal RNA
Source: RNAcentral
GACGAACGCUGGCGGCGUGCCUAAUACAUGCAAGUAGAACGCUGAAGGAGGAGCUUGCUUCUCCGGAUGAGUUGCGAACGGGUGAGUAACGCGUAGGUAACCUGCCUGGUAGCGGGGGAUAACUAUUGGAAACGAUAGCUAAUACCGCAUAAGAGUAGAUGUCGCAUGACAUUUGCUUAAAAGGUGCAACUGCACCACUACCAGAUGGACCUGCGUUGUAUUAGCUAGUUGGUGAGGUAACGGCUCACCAAGGCAACGAUACAUAGCCGACCCGAGAGGGUGAUCGGCCACACUGGGACUGAGACACGGCCCAGACUCCUACGGGAGGCAGCAGUAGGGAAUCUUCGGCAAUGGACGGAAGUCUGACCGAGCAACGCCGCGUGAGUGAAGAAGGUUUUCGGAUCGUAAAGCUCUGUUGUAAGAGAAGAACGAGUGUGAGAGUGGAAAGUUCACACUGUGACGGUAUCUUACCAGAAAGGGACGGCUAACUACGUG